Molecule: long non-coding RNA, 248 nt
Filed under: Elaeis guineensis (African oil palm)
Lineage: Eukaryota; Viridiplantae; Streptophyta; Magnoliopsida; Arecales; Arecaceae
Description: long non-coding RNA (EGUI_LNC081148)
Source: RNAcentral
GCUGAUUCGGGCUUGAGGAUGAUGUUGCAAGCCGCACACGCAUCCGGCCUCUAGGAGUCGUCCACACGAGCUCACGAAUCUCGAUCAGAAGUUCUGCUUCAGGAAAUCAGCACAGUAUGCUAGUACUGCGCUGAUCCUUCUUUGAUGGUUGAUCAGGUGCCUCCUUCUUCUUGAUUUGGACUCAUCCAAAGAUGGAAAGUAAAAGGAGGAGUUUCAGAUCUGAGACGCUCUCAGGAAACUCAAGAUGG